Aedes albopictus (Asian tiger mosquito) is the source of this 285-nucleotide long non-coding RNA. RefSeq lists it as uncharacterized. The record is from RefSeq and is a predicted model, not a curated record. NCBI's taxonomy places the organism in Eukaryota, Metazoa, Arthropoda, Insecta, Diptera, Culicidae. The transcript has 3 exons.
GAGACACAGACAGAAUCCGAAAUUGGCGCGAAAGUGACCGACAAGUGUAGGAGGUAAAACAAAACCCAAUAUAAGUGAACCGGUAGAUUUAAAAAUUGCGCCAACGAUCGAACUCAACCACUGAAUGGAUGACGUGCGACUAUGUUCAACACAUUAUAACUCACGAUUGAACGGAGUGAUUAUCUAUCCUUCGAAAAAGGCUCAAUACAUGUAGCCGAAACGUCAGGUGUAGAGCAUAAAUCCGUUUAUGAUUACGCGAAGACUGAAAGCCGAAAAUACCCGUAA